AGGGCUUGACAUUCCGACGAAAUCUCGCGGAAACGCGAGACCUCUCACAAGGACGGCGGAACAGGUGCUGCAUGGUUGUCGUCAGCAUGUGCCUUGAGGUGCACCCUUAAAUGGGGUAACAUGCGCAACCCUUGUCCUGCGUUUCAAGUGUCGCAGGAGACUGCCUGAGACAAUCAGGAGGAAGGUGAGGAUGACGCCAAAUCAGCAUGGCCCUUUGACGCCCUGGGCUGCACACAUGAUACAAUGGGACUGACAAUGGGCGAAGCCGUAAGGCGGAGGUAAUCCCAUCAAACGGUCUCUCAGUUCGGAUUGAGGUCUGCAACCCGACCUCAUGAAGCUGGAAUCGCUAGUAAUCGCCAAUCAGCCAUGUGGCGAUGAAUAUGUUCCUGAAGCU
This 394-nucleotide ribosomal RNA is filed under the name uncultured bacterium. Its description in RNAcentral is "bacterial SSU rRNA". It matches the Rfam family "Bacterial small subunit ribosomal RNA", at positions 976 to 1381 of the family's 1533-position model. The record is from RNAcentral.